This 234-nucleotide ribosomal RNA is filed under the name uncultured bacterium. RNAcentral's name for it is "partial 16S ribosomal RNA". It matches the Rfam family "Bacterial small subunit ribosomal RNA", at positions 103 to 334 of the family's 1533-position model. The record is from RNAcentral.
CGGGUGAGUAACACGUGAACAACCUGUCCUCACGUUCCGAAUAAUUGGGAGAAAUCCCUUGUAAUGCGGGCGAGGAUCCUGGACCUGCAUGGGUCAUGGGAGGGAACGCGCAAGCGGCGCGAGGAGGGGUUCGCGGCCUAUCAGUUUGUUGGUGAGGUAACGGCUCACCAAGGCGACGACGGGUAGCCGGCCUGAGAGGGCGACCGGCCACACUGGGACUGAGACACGGCCCAG